AGUCGAACGCCCCGCAAGGGGAGUGGCAGACGGGUGAGUAACGCGUGGGAAUCUACCGUGCCCUGCGGAAUAGCUCCGGGAAACUGGAAUUAAUACCGCAUACGCCCUACGGGGGAAAGAUUUAUCGGGGUAUGAUGAGCCCGCGUUGGAUUAGCUAGUUGGUGGGGUAAAGGCCUACCAAGGCGACGAUCCAUAGCUGGUCUGAGAGGAUGAUCAGCCACAUUGGGACUGAGACACGGCCCAAACUCCUACGGGAGGCAGCAGUGGGGAAUAUUGGACAAUGGGCGCAAGCCUGAUCCAGCCAUGCCGCGUGAGUGAUGAAGGCCUUAGGGUUGUAAAGCUCUUUCACCGGUGAAGAUAAUGACGGUAACCGGAGAAGAAGCCCCGGCUAACUUCGUGCCAGCAGCCGCGGUAAUACGAAGGGGGCUAGCGUUGUUCGGAAUUACUGGGCGUAAAGCGCACGUAGGCGGAUAUUUAAGUCAGGGGUGAAAUCCCAGAGCUCAACUCUGGAACUGCCUUUGAUACUGGGUAUCUUGAGUAUGGAAGAGGUAAGUGGAAUUGCGAGUGUA
RNAcentral lists this ribosomal RNA (569 nucleotides) under Rhizobium sp. RNAcentral describes it as "bacterial SSU rRNA". It matches the Rfam family "Bacterial small subunit ribosomal RNA", at positions 60 to 677 of the family's 1533-position model. Lineage: Bacteria; Pseudomonadati; Pseudomonadota; Alphaproteobacteria; Hyphomicrobiales; Rhizobiaceae. The record is from RNAcentral.